Molecule: long non-coding RNA, 1277 nt
Organism: Lathyrus oleraceus (garden pea)
Lineage: Eukaryota; Viridiplantae; Streptophyta; Magnoliopsida; Fabales; Fabaceae
Exons: 5
Source: RefSeq, a predicted model, not a curated record
AACUCAAUAAUAAAAACAGUCUUCCCUUUCCCAAAAAUUUCAUAUCCUCUUCUAAAUACUUAACACUUUUUCCCCUUACAAAAAAAUCUUUCUUCCAAUAUCUUGUAUUUUUAUUAUAAAAUUAUUUUUAUAUAUUCAAAUGCAUUAAAUUUUUAUUAUUUGGCAAAAAAAACCACAAUAACCCAUUGAUAUGUAUAAACCCAUUAUAUAAUUCCAAACCCUACCUUUAUAUUCACUUGGGACCCUUCAACCAUUUUGCAACAAGCCGUAGAUGUUUCCACUGUUAAUACCAACUCAACUUGAAUCAAUGGAUAGAAAAGCUAUAAUGAGUUUGUUUUAAAUACAGCUUCAUUCUAACCGUUGAAGAUGAAGUUUGUUCAUUCAGCAACAUCUCUACCAUGCAAUUUGAUUGAUCUUUUGUCAGAGAUAUUUUUUUCCAGUAUCAACAACCGUGAUUUCCUUGAUUAAAUAAAGCUUUCGAAUAGAACCUAUAAAUAAUGCUCAAGAAGGAAUGCAACUUUUGUUGACUGGUGUGAAUUUUAUCAUCAUAUUUAUUGAUUUUGAUUUUCCCAUAAUAAGUACAUGUCAGUUUGUGAUGGAUAUGCGUGCAUUGGGGAUACAAAGAGAAAUAGUGGGAGUUAAUGGCAACACUCAUAAACCUUUCACUCGAAGAAAUUUUGAGCAUAUCAUUGAAAUCCUUUGCUUCAUAUGAAUCUAAUGUUCGUCAUUGUUAUGAUGUGUUAUGCUUAUAAUUUGUAGGAGAGACAUUGACUCUUUAAGUUAAAAUAUUAAAUAAAUUAUGAAAUGUAUAGGAUAAAAAAUAAAAGUAGUUUAUCUACAUUAUUUUGGAAAUUAAUAACUACCGGAACAAUGUGAUGAAGGAAGCAACCCCAUCAUCAAUGACUGGACGGGAUAAUGUUAUUAAAUGAUAGAAUCUAGUCCAUCGUCAAUUCCUAAACCAUUACCAAACACAAUGAUUGGACCAGCAUUGCGGCAACAAGACAUAAUACUUUCUAAUCCACCUCCAAGUGGAAUUAUCGCAAUACCACAUAAUGAUAUGGAUUCAUCUAAUCCUACUCUAAGUAGACAAGGCCAAUGGAUGAGAUUGGAUUCACCUGAUCCUCCUCUAAAUUGCAUUUUCAUAAUGAAAUUAUCAAAGUUGCAUUGUAACAAAUUUAAAUUACAUUAUCGAAGGUGUAUUAUCACAAUACCAUCUUACAAGUGACUUCAUAUGUAUUAAGGAAGGAUUAAUACAAAUAAUUUGCUUAAAUAUGUCA